ACUGAGCUGAGGCGAGGGGCCUCAAAAAGGGGUCUAGAAAAAGGGGGGGGCGGGUGAGUGGCUGUGAGCGACCCCCAAACAAAGAAAGGGGG
Non-coding RNA from Equus caballus (horse), 92 nucleotides. Lineage: Eukaryota; Metazoa; Chordata; Mammalia; Perissodactyla; Equidae. The record is from Rfam.